Molecule: ribosomal RNA, 561 nt
Filed under: uncultured Archaeorhizomycetes
Lineage: Eukaryota; Fungi; Ascomycota; Archaeorhizomycetes
Description: eukaryotic LSU rRNA
Rfam family: Eukaryotic large subunit ribosomal RNA
Source: RNAcentral
UCUCAGAGUUGUAAGCUGAAGAAGUGUCGACCGACAGGGUCUGGGUCCAAUUUCUUUGGAACAAGAUGUCAUGGAGGGUGAGAACCCCGUCUGUGGCUCGGAUAUUCCCGUCCUUGUGUCGUAUCUUCGAAGAGUCGGGUUGUUUGGGAAUGCAGCUCAAAAUGGGUGGUAAAUUUCAUCUAAGGCUAAAUAUUGGCGAGAGACCGAUAGCAAACAAGUAGAGUGAUCGAAAGAUGAAAAGUACUUUGAAAAGAGAGUGAAACAGUACGUGAAAUUGUUGAAAGGGAAGCGUUUGGCAUCAGCCCAUGGCACCCGUCGAUCAUCCAGGCUUCUGUCUGGUGCACUUGUCGGGUGUCGGGCCAGCGUCGACUUUGCCUGCUGGAUAAAGGCCUUGGGAAUGUGUCUCCCCUGGGAGAGUUACAGCCCUUGGUGUCAUGCAGUGUGGUGGGGUCGUGGUCCGCGGUUUAUCCUAGGACGCUGGCGUAAUGGUUCCAAGCGACCCGUCUUGAAACACGGACCAAGGAGUCUAACAUCUAUGCGAGUGUUUGGGUGUCAAGCCCG